GGGUUGUGAGGUUAAGCGACUAAGCGUACACGGUGGAUGCCUAGGCAGUCAGAGGCGAUGAAGGGCGUGCUAAUCUGCGAUAAGCGUCGGUAAGGUGAUAUGAACCGUUACAACCGACGAUACCCGAAUGGGGAAACCCAGUGCAAUUCGUUGCACUAUUGCAUGGUGAAUACAUAGCCAUGCAAGGCGAACCGGGGGAACUGAAACAUCUAAGUACCCCGAGGAAAAGAAAUCAACCGAGAUUCCCCCAGUAGCGGCGAGCGAACGGGGAAGAGCCCAGAGUCUGAAUCAGUUUGUGUGUUAGUGGAAGCGUCUGGAAAGUCGCACGGUACAGGGUGAUAGUCCCGUACACAAAAACACACCUUCUGUGAACUCGAUGAGUAGGGCGGGACACGUGACAUCCUGUCUGAAUAUGGGGGGACCAUCCUCCAAGGCUAAAUACUCCUGACUGACCGAUAGUGAACCAGUACCGUGAGGGAAAGGCGAAAAGAACCCCGGCGAGGGGAGUGAAAUAGAACCUGAAACCGUGUACGUACAAGCAGUGGGAGCACCUUCGUGGUGUGACUGCGUACCUUUUGUAUAAUGGGUCAGCGACUUAUAUUUUGUAGCAAGGUUAACCGAAUAGGGGAGCCGUAGGGAAACCGAGUCUUAACUGGGCGUCUAGUUGCAAGGUAUAGACCCGAAACCCGGUGAUCUAGCCAUGGGCAGGUUGAAGGUUGGGUAACACUAACUGGAGGACCGAACCGACUAAUGUUGAAAAAUUAGCGGAUGACUUGUGGCUGGGGGUGAAAGGCCAAUCAAACCGGGAGAUAGCUGGUUCUCCCCGAAAGCUAUUUAGGUAGCGCCUCGUGAACUCAUCUUCGGGGGUAGAGCACUGUUUCGGCUAGGGGGUCAUCCCGACUUACCAAACCGAUGCAAACUCCGAAUACCGAAGAAUGUUAUCACGGGAGACACACGGCGGGUGCUAACGUCCGUCGUGAAGAGGGAAACAACCCAGACCGCCAGCUAAGGUCCCAAAGUCAUGGUUAAGUGGGAAACGAUGUGGGAAGGCAUAGACAGCCAGGAUGUUGGCUUAGAAGCAGCCAUCAUUUAAAGAAAGCGUAAUAGCUCACUGGUCGAGUCGGCCUGCGCGGAAGAUGUAACGGGGCUAAACCAUGCACCGAAGCUGCGGCAGCGACACUUAGGUGUUGUUGGGUAGGGGAGCGUUCUGUAAGCCGUUGAAGGUGGCCUGUGAGGGCUGCUGGAGGUAUCAGAAGUGCGAAUGCUGACAUAAGUAACGAUAAUGCGGGUGAAAAACCCGCACGCCGGAAGACCAAGGGUUCCUGUCCAACGUUAAUCGGGGCAGGGUGAGUCGACCCCUAAGGCGAGGCUGAAAAGCGUAGUCGAUGGGAAACAGGUUAAUAUUCCUGUACUUGGUGUUACUGCGAAGGGGGGACGGAGAAGGCUAGGCUAGCCGGGCGACGGUUGUCCCGGUUUAAGCAUGUAGGCGGAGUGACUUGGUAAAUCCGGUUGCUUAUCAACGCUGAGGUGUGAUGACGAUGCACUACGGUGCAGAAGUAGUUGAUGCCAAGCUUCCAGGAAAAGCCUCUAAGCAUCAGGUAACAUUGAAUCGUACCCCAAACCGACACAGGUGGUCAGGUAGAGAAUACUCAGGCGCUUGAGAGAACUCGGGUGAAGGAACUAGGCAAAAUGGUGCCGUAACUUCGGGAGAAGGCACGCUGGCAUUAGGUAAAGAGACUUGCUCUCGGCGCCGAAGCCAGUCGCAGAUACCAGCUGGCUGCAACUGUUUAAUAAAAACACAGCACUGUGCAAACACGAAAGUGGACGUAUACGGUGUGACGCCUGCCCGGUGCUGGAAGGUUAAUUGAUGGGGUCAGCCGCAAGGCGAAGCUCUUGAUCGAAGCCCCAGUAAACGGCGGCCGUAACUAUAACGGUCCUAAGGUAGCGAAAUUCCUUGUCGGGUAAGUUCCGACCUGCACGAAUGGCGUAAUGAUGGCCAGGCUGUCUCCACCCGAGACUCAGUGAAAUUGAACUCGCUGUGAAGAUGCAGUGUACCCGCGGCAAGACGGAAAGACCCCGUGAACCUUUACUAUAGCUUGACACUGAACAUUGAGCCUUGAUGUGUAGGAUAGGUGGGAGGCAUUGAAGUGUGGACGCCAGUCUGCAUGGAGCCAACCUUGAAAUACCACCCUUUAAUGUUUGAUGUUCUAACUCGGCCCCGUAAUCCGGGGUGAGGACAGUGUCUGGUGGGUAGUUUGACUGGGGCGGUCUCCUCCCAAAGAGUAACGGAGGAGCACGAAGGUUAGCUAAUCACGGUCGGACAUCGUGAGGUUAGUGCAAAGGCAUAAGCUAGCUUGACUGCGAGAGUGACGGCUCGAGCAGGUACGAAAGUAGGUCUUAGUGAUCCGGUGGUUCUGAAUGGAAGGGCCAUCGCUCAACGGAUAAAAGGUACUCCGGGGAUAACAGGCUGAUACCGCCCAAGAGUUCAUAUCGACGGCGGUGUUUGGCACCUCGAUGUCGGCUCAUCACAUCCUGGGGCUGAAGUAGGUCCCAAGGGUAUGGCUGUUCGCCAUUUAAAGUGGUACGCGAGCUGGGUUUAGAACGUCGUGAGACAGUUCGGUCCCUAUCUGCCGUGGGCGUUGGAAGAUUGAGAGGGGCUGCUCCUAGUACGAGAGGACCGGAGUGGACGAAUCACUGGUGUUCGGGUUGUCAUGCCAAUGGCAUUGCCCGGUAGCUAAAUUCGGAAGAGAUAACCGCUGAAAGCAUCUAAGCGGGAAACUUGCCUCGAGAUGAGUCUUCCCUGGGGCUUUAAGCCCCCUGAAGGAACGUUAAAGACUAUGACGUUGAUAGGCUGGGUGUGUAAGUGCAGCGAUGCAUUGAGCUAACCAGUACUAAUGAUCCGUGAGGCUUAACCUUACAACACCAAAGGUGUUUUG
Molecule: ribosomal RNA, 2936 nt
Filed under: Yersinia mollaretii ATCC 43969
Lineage: Bacteria; Pseudomonadati; Pseudomonadota; Gammaproteobacteria; Enterobacterales; Yersiniaceae
Description: 23S ribosomal RNA
Rfam family: Bacterial large subunit ribosomal RNA
Source: RNAcentral